GGUCCUUCAGUUCUGUGCCAUUUUCCUUAUCCAGGGGCCAUGAAGAGUUUGCUUUGCUGAUAGAUGGAAACUUUUACUCAAGGUCCAACCAUAAGUCCGGCAGGGAGGAAAGGUGUAACUCCUGGGAGGAAGCACUGAAGGGAAAAAAAGCUAUGUUAUCAGUUUAACCCCUUGGUCACCAAAGAAUCUCUUCUUUCGAAGCGCUCAUGAGAAUUCUGGCACAGCGUGCUGGGAAGUUACAGAUUUAGGGGAGCGGUCUGGAAGAGAGCCGUCGCUGGGAAGACACCUGGGGGUAGAGACGGCCUUCGCAGAGAGACAUUGAGAUCUUAAAUGUACCCUGGUACUGACUGGUGACCCAGCCCAUGCAGACUGGGACCCCAGAGCUGGGGAGCCUACUGACC
RNAcentral lists this long non-coding RNA (401 nucleotides) under Fukomys damarensis (Damara mole-rat). RNAcentral describes it as "lncRNA (ENSFDAG00000032833.1)". Lineage: Eukaryota; Metazoa; Chordata; Mammalia; Rodentia; Bathyergidae. The record is from RNAcentral.